This 74-nucleotide transfer RNA is filed under the name Gemmatimonadaceae bacterium. Its description in RNAcentral is "tRNA-Arg". It matches the Rfam family "tRNA". From Rfam's summary of the family: Transfer RNA (tRNA) molecules are approximately 80 nucleotides in length. Their secondary structure includes four short double-helical elements and three loops (D, anti-codon, and T loops). Lineage: Bacteria; Pseudomonadati; Gemmatimonadota; Gemmatimonadia; Gemmatimonadales; Gemmatimonadaceae. The record is from RNAcentral.
GCCCCUGUAGCUCAGAUGGAUAGAGCAGCGGUUUCCUAAACCGUUGGUCGCAGGUUCGACUCCUGUCAGGGGCA